RNAcentral lists this small RNA (132 nucleotides) under Escherichia coli. RNAcentral describes it as "RtT sRNA". It matches the Rfam family "RtT RNA". From Rfam's summary of the family: This family represents a bacterial cis-regulatory element known as RtT RNA. The exact function of RtT is unknown although it is thought that it may be involved in changing the cellular response in relation to amino acid starvation. Lineage: Bacteria; Pseudomonadati; Pseudomonadota; Gammaproteobacteria; Enterobacterales; Enterobacteriaceae. The record is from RNAcentral.
GUUUGCACUCAUCGGGGAAGGGUGAGAACCUUCGACUAAGGUUCGAUUCGAGCGCCAGCGAGAGAGCGUUGCCGCAGGCAACGAUCCGAAGGGCGAAGCGCGCAGCGCUGAGUAAUCCUUCCCCCACCACCA